CGUGGUCUUGGUGUCCUGCGGGGACGAGCAAGGCGGCGCGACGUUGCCGCUCGGCGACGGCUGCGUCAGGCGGUAGGGGCGCCGGUAGAAGGAGCUCGCCCCCGGGGGACGAGCUCGUGGUGACUCGCCCGGGCUUCUGCUGCCACCGACGUCUCCACCGACCACGUCCGCGAGCUGCUGCCGGAGAAGGCCGUUGAGGUUAUCAGUACCACCUCUCCCUCUUCAUUUUACAUCUGGACCACAAGAUCCGAUCAGAAAGUUCAUGUCUUGUUCCUGACAGGAAAGCUGCACAAGUAGAUGCAGACAUAAACAUACGAGGAAGGAAAGAGCUAUAAUUGAUUACAAGUGAGCUGCAUGAGCAAGUUAGUGCAUAUUUGAGAUACGAACCUGCUGACAGUAAUAGUAGUUACAUAAAGGUAAAAUCAACUAGACAGGGUGUUAACUCAACAAACUAGUAAGCUUCUGAUAAAUCAUUUACACUAAAAUUCUAAUCUGCAACCAACACACUUUUGGCUGCUACGUUCCUAGUAUUUCACUAGUCAGGACAAUAGUGAUGUUUAUCUUAUGUUCCAGGUCAUCUUCCUUAACCUGGCGCCGGUAGAAGGAGCUCGCCGGCGAGGCCCGGGGGACGAGCUCGUGGUGACUCGCCUGGGCUUCUGCUGCCAGCGUCGUAUCCACCGACCACGUCCGCGAGCUGCUGCUCACAGUAAUUACAUAAAGCUAAAAUGAACGAGACAGGGUUUAACUGAACAAACUAAUGAUAAGCUUCUGAUAAAUCAUUUACAAAUCUGCAACCAAAAGUCUUUUGGCUGCUAUGUUCCUAGUGUUUGACUAGGCGGGGCAAUAAUGCUGUUUAUCUCAUGUUCCAGGUCAUCUUCGUCAACCGGGUGCUGGUGCAACCGCACGUAUACAACACCCGCAGAUCUGCUUAGGUAAAGCUGUUGCCGGCGCCUCUCCUGUCGCAGGGAGAUGAUUUAGUUAUGCCUCCCUCCACGUUGGUGCAUUUGACGAUUCACUGCAUGAUACAUGGGAAUGUUCUUUGCCUAGCCUAAUCGAAUAUAUGGCUGCCUCCUUCGACUGGAACGACUACUACAUCACCGCGUCCCCCAUCGGCGAGCCACAGAAGGUCAACUUUAUGCCUUUUUCUGUUUCGAAGUUUAGUAUGAUGCAGCAACGAUUGAAACAUAUGCAUUGAUCUCUAUUGUUGUUGUUGUGUGAGGCAAUACCUUGUUAUGUGAGUUACUCAUAUUGUCUGUACCUACUAUGUGCAGCGGUAACACUAUUUGGUUCCUCUAAAAAAAGGUAACAUGUUACAGAUCUUCCAUAAAUUCAAUGCUAGCUUUGUUAUCCAGUUUGCAUGGUGUGUUCUAUACAUAGCAUUCCCAUCUUGGCUAAUGGUGUUAUGGCAGUAGCUUCCAAAGGCGGUAGCCUGUAACUUGCAAGGCUGGUUGUGUCUUCAUGCUGAUUGCUAUUUGAGUGAUCUUGAUCUAGUAGUGAAGUUGAUAUGUGUCUAUGUUCCACUUCUGAAAUUGUGGGCUUAACCUGGUGGUUGGGUUCUUAAUGAAGAGGGUUCUACUAUUGCUAUAUUCUGGCUGAUUGCACUUCUUUGAACCUUACUAUAUUUAAGUGCUUAUGUCUAGCUCAAAAGUCAAAUAUCUCUGUUUCACCAGAUGAAAUGCUGUUUGCUGGAAUUGUAUGCUCGAAGUGUUAAUUUUGUCACUAUUUGAUUCAAUAGUAUGCCAUUUUGAUUUUCUGAAAAUUAUUUCUUCUCUUUGGUAUAUGCAUAGUUGACGUUGCAAACUUGUAACUAGUGGUGUUCUGGGAUGAAAAUCUACAGUUGAGUGCUAUUUUGGCUAGUCAAUAUUUACUAGUGCUAUUCUGGAACUAUACGGACUGUGUGUGUCCAGUUGUAAUUGUUCGUCUACCUGCUAUCAUCUCACUCAUGUUUUCAGGGCAGUGAGGAUUCUUUGCUCAAAGGAAUAGUUACCCAUCCAUGGCGAUGAGGCAUAAGAGUUUCCCCUCCAGUUCGCCUGCCCCUUGCCUUAUAACUAGAUCAGGAUAUUGAAAAGGAGGAUAGAUGGCAGCCAACGUAGCAGCUGGCAUCUAGUAGUUGAUCAUAUAAAAUUUGCAGAUUCUUGUGUGGUAGCGGGGUGAGGAGGCGCCUCCUUUCAGAGGUGUCCAACAUCAAAAUUUGAUUCCUCUAUUUGUUUAUCUUGUUUGUUUGGUGGCUGUAAUGGAAGAUAAAUUGCAUGGUUAUGUUGCUGCCUAGGAUGGAUAAAUCCUCCUUGCUGUGUUUUGGCUGGUAAUCCUGGAUGUAUCUCCUCCGCUAAAUGAUGUAAGAGUUUGCAGUUGGAUGCUGAAAUCGAAGCAUACGUACAUAUGUGUUCGUUUUGCUGUAUGUAAUGGCUCCUCCAGCUUGGAGCUUGUAAGAGAUGGUGUGUUAAGUAAUUGGCUCGUUUUGUGUUUUGUGUUCUCGUGUUGGAGCUGGAUUGAUUCCGGGCUAAUUCAAAUGUUGUUUGUGCU
This is a long non-coding RNA of Lolium rigidum, 2523 nucleotides long. RefSeq lists it as uncharacterized. The transcript is spliced from 2 exons. The record is from RefSeq and is a predicted model, not a curated record. Lineage: Eukaryota; Viridiplantae; Streptophyta; Magnoliopsida; Poales; Poaceae.